UACUUAGAGCUCUCAAUCAGAGCCCUUUGGUGUAACGUUACUGCUUGUUUUACAUGUAACAGUGGUAAUACGUUGAUGCUUGGUUAUUAAGCAUAGAAGCUGUUCUAAUACUUCAGUCUAACAGUCCUUUUACCAACCUCUCCAUUCUAUUCAAAUCAUAAUUACAGCUCACCCUUUCUUGUCAGCUAUGCCUAUCUUGAUCCUUCCUUAACAAUGACAAUAGCCACGACAUCUACAACCGAUUGACCAACCAAUUGGAGGCCACCAUCUCUCCCUUCUUGAAUCUUGCACAAAAUGCAUACACCGCUAUCACCGUUUCAAGAAGACCACAAGCAGCAGGAACCUUCAAGAAAGGAUAAGCUCAUGACUCAAGCGAUAAGCUCUUUAGGAGUUGAGUGGUGCGAUCGGUGGAACGGUGGAAGAUCUUCAAGAGUUGAGUGGGCUUUCAAACUCGUCACCGAAACAGAACCUUCAAUAUAUUUCUGACCAUACAUACUGGAUUGGUGUAUGUUCUAUGAGCUAGAACAACUUACAGAAAAUGAGAAGACAACAACAGUAAGGAAUGGGGACUUCAAUUUGGGGGCUACAAAAGUGGUUGUUGAUUGAAUUGGAAAGGAAAAGCACAAAAAUGAAGACAUUCAAGGAUCACUUUUUGAAGAACCUUCUCAUGGAGCUCUAUUCUGCACUUGGGAAACAUUUAAGAGGAGAUUGAAGGAUAACAUAGAUUCAAAGUGACACGUAUUAACCAUUUUAAUGUUCUUUUAUAUAUUUGUUAAUCAUUUUAGUAUCUCAAAAUUCUCUUCUUAACAUGUUCAUCCCACAAAUGGUUAGACUAGCAAGCCGGUCUUGCUCAUAGAACAAUGUCAUAUGGUAUUUCGCUUCUAUUUAUCAUUGUAAACUGAACUUGAAAAAUUAUGCCUUCUUGUAUUCCAUGUAACCAAGUUUCUUGGCGUCUAUUUUUAUGUCCAACAAUGUUUUUAUUUUUAUUAUUUUAUUUUUUAAAGCUAAACAAUGCAUCAUUUAUUGCAGAAACUUUCACCACCAGCUCAAGAUUGGAGAUCACCUUAGCGAGGUAAUCAGAUCGAUUCCAUCUUAGAAAAGU
Molecule: long non-coding RNA, 1102 nt
Organism: Camellia sinensis
Lineage: Eukaryota; Viridiplantae; Streptophyta; Magnoliopsida; Ericales; Theaceae
Source: RefSeq, a predicted model, not a curated record